This 301-nucleotide ribosomal RNA is filed under the name uncultured bacterium. RNAcentral's name for it is "partial 16S ribosomal RNA". It matches the Rfam family "Bacterial small subunit ribosomal RNA", at positions 509 to 807 of the family's 1533-position model. The record is from RNAcentral.
CAGCAGCCACGGUAAUACGUAGGUGGCAAGCGUUGUCCGGAAUUAUUGGGCGUAAAGGGCUCGCAGGCGGUUUCUUAAGUCUGAUGUGAAAGCCCCCGGCUCAACCGGGGAUGGUCAUUGGAAACUGGGAAACUUGAGUGCAGAAGAGGAGAGUGGAAUUCCACGUGUAGCGGUGAAAUGCGUAGAGAUGUGGAGGAACACCAGUGGCGAAGGCGACUCUCUGGUCUGUAACUGACGCUGAGGAGCGAAAGCGUGGGGAGCGAACAGGAUUAGAUACCCCCGUAGUCCCUGUCUCUUAUAC